Molecule: ribosomal RNA, 480 nt
Filed under: Centipeda noxia
Lineage: Bacteria; Bacillati; Bacillota; Negativicutes; Selenomonadales; Selenomonadaceae
Description: bacterial SSU rRNA
Rfam family: Bacterial small subunit ribosomal RNA
Source: RNAcentral
GGCGGCGUGCUUAACACAUGCAAGUCGAACGGAGCGAAUGAAAGCUUGCUUUUAUAAGCUUAGUGGCAAACGGGUGAGUAACACGUAGACAACCUGCCGACAGGAUGGGGACAACAUUCCGAAAGGAAUGCUAAUACCGAAUGAAGUGCAGGGGAGGCAUCUCCCCUGCAUGAAAGAUGGCCUCUUUUUAUGCUAUCACCUGUUGAUGGGUCUGCGUCUGAUUAGCUAGUAGGUGAGGUAACGGCUCACCUAGGCGACGAUCAGUAGCCGGUCUGAGAGGAUGAACGGCCACAUUGGGACUGAGACACGGCCCAGACUCCUACGGGAGGCAGCAGUGGGGAAUCUUCCGCAAUGGGCGCAAGCCUGACGGAGCAACGCCGCGUGAGUGAAGAAGGUCUUCGGAUCGUAAAGCUCUGUUGAUGGGGACGAACGUGCCUAAUGCGAAUAGUUUUAGGCAAUGACGUACCCAUCGAGGAAGCC